This 57-nucleotide transfer RNA is filed under the name Heterometrus longimanus. RNAcentral describes it as "tRNA-Tyr". The record is from RNAcentral. Lineage: Eukaryota; Metazoa; Arthropoda; Arachnida; Scorpiones; Scorpionidae.
AACUUUAUAUUGAACUGUAAAUUCAAAUACGGGGAAUCCCUAUAACCACGGUUUUAA